Molecule: ribosomal RNA, 473 nt
Filed under: uncultured bacterium
Lineage: Bacteria
Description: bacterial SSU rRNA
Rfam family: Bacterial small subunit ribosomal RNA
Source: RNAcentral
AUUGAACGCUGGCGGCAGGCCUAACACAUGCAAGUCGAGCGCGAAAAUUCCUUCGGGAUGAGUAGAGCGGCGGACGGGUGAGUAAUGCGCAGAAAUCUGCCCAGUAGUGGGGGACAACCUGGUGAAAACCAGGCUAAUACCGCAUACGCCCUACGGGGAAAGCAGGGGAUCUUCGGACCUUGCGCUAUUGGAUGAGUCUGCGUCGGAUUAGCUUGUUGGUGAGGUAAUGGCUCACCAAGGCGACGAUCCGUAGCUGGUCUGAGAGGAUGAUCAGCCACACUGGGACUGAGACACGGCCCAGACUCCUACGGGAGGCAGCAGUGGGGAAUAUUGGACAAUGGGCGAAAGCCUGAUCCAGCCAUGCCGCGUGUGUGAAGAAGGCUCUAGGGUUGUAAAGCACUUUCAGUGGGGAAGAAAGCCUUGUUAGCUAAUAACUGACGAGUGUGACCAUUACCCACAGAAGAAGCACCGGC